Molecule: long non-coding RNA, 393 nt
Organism: Homarus americanus (American lobster)
Lineage: Eukaryota; Metazoa; Arthropoda; Malacostraca; Decapoda; Nephropidae
Exons: 2
Source: RefSeq, a predicted model, not a curated record
AACUGAAUGCAUGAACUUUUACUGUAUUUGCAUGAAAAUAUAAAUCCUAUUAUAUUGGGUACUUGUGCAAUUUAGCCUGAUGGAUUUUUUCCAACUUAUGAAAGUUAGGAAUUGAAAUGUGUACUGUACCUAUUUCAGAGUGUGAUGGACAGCGAUGAUGAAGAGGAGCGCAGCAGUGGUUGUGGGGGUGGGAGGGGUAUGGCAAUGCCAAUGUGUGCACGAGGUACUUCUCCCCCUUCUUCUGUCUACCGCAAGGUAGUCCAAGAGACCAACUACGAUUCACCCGACAGCAUGAAGGCACUAACAAAAGCUGCGUAUAGUUACGGAACUCUCCCCAGAAUUCACAGCCAUAAAUCCGCCAGUUUACCAGCGAGAGGGAAAGAUACAGAUAAC